This 73-nucleotide transfer RNA is filed under the name Bos taurus (domestic cattle). It matches the Rfam family "tRNA". From Rfam's summary of the family: Transfer RNA (tRNA) molecules are approximately 80 nucleotides in length. Their secondary structure includes four short double-helical elements and three loops (D, anti-codon, and T loops). The record is from Rfam by way of RNAcentral. Lineage: Eukaryota; Metazoa; Chordata; Mammalia; Artiodactyla; Bovidae. RNAcentral also lists the same sequence under 4 other names.
UCCCUGAUAGUCCAGUGGUUAGGGCUCUGCACUUUCACUGCUGAGAGUGCACGUUCAGUCCCUGGUCAAGGAA